UUAUCGGAGAGUUUGAUCCUGGCUCAGGACGAACGCUGGCGGCGUGCCUAAUACAUGCAAGUCGAGCGGACAGAUGGGAGCUUGCUCCCUGAUGUUAGCGGCGGACGGGUGAGUAACACGUGGGUAACCUGCCUGUAAGACUGGGAUAACUCCGGGAAACCGGGGCUAAUACCGGAUGGUUGUUUGAACCGCAUGG
Molecule: ribosomal RNA, 196 nt
Filed under: Bacillus subtilis
Lineage: Bacteria; Bacillati; Bacillota; Bacilli; Caryophanales; Bacillaceae
Also listed under: 1 other name
Description: partial 16S ribosomal RNA
Rfam family: Bacterial small subunit ribosomal RNA
Source: RNAcentral